AGAGUUUGAUCAUGGCUCAGGAUGAACGCUAGCGGCAGGCUUAAUACAUGCAAGUCGAGGGGCAGCACAGGUAGCAAUACUGGGUGGCGACCGGCAAACGGGUGCGGAACACGUACGCAACCUUCCUUUAAGCGGGGAAUAGCCCAGGGAAACUUGGAUUAAUACCCCAUAAGAUUAUGGUGUGGCAUCACACAGUAAUUAAAGCUACGGCACUUAAAGAUGGGCGUGCGGCUGAUUAGGUAGUUGGCGGGGUAACGGCCCACCAAGCCAACGAUCAGUAACUGGUGUGAGAGCACGACCAGUCACACGGGCACUGAGACACGGGCCCGACUCCUACGGGAGGCAGCAGUAAGGAAUAUUGGUCAAUGGACGCAAGUCUGAACCAGCCAUGCCGCGUGGAGGAUGAAGGCCCUCUGGGUUGUAAACUUCUUUUAUCUGGGAAGAAACCCAUCUUUUCUAAGGUGGUUGACGGUACCAGUUGAAUAAGCACCGGCUAACUCCGUGCCAGCAGCCGCGGUAAUACGGAGGGUGCAAGCGUUAUCCGGAUUCACUGGGUUUAAAGGGUGCGUAGGUGGGCAGGUAAGUCAGUGGUGAAAUCUCCGGGCUUAACCCGGAAACUGCCGUUGAUACUAUCUGUCUUGAAUGUAGUGGAGGUGAGCGGAAUAUGUCAUGUAGCGGUGAAAUGCUUAGAUAUGACAUAGAACACCCAUUGCGAAGGCAGCUCGCUACACUAUUAUUGACACUGAGGCACGAAAGCGUGGGGAUCAAACAGGAUUAGAUACCCUAGUAGUCC
RNAcentral lists this ribosomal RNA (793 nucleotides) under uncultured bacterium. Its description in RNAcentral is "bacterial SSU rRNA". It matches the Rfam family "Bacterial small subunit ribosomal RNA", at positions 8 to 796 of the family's 1533-position model. The record is from RNAcentral.